UACGGAGGAUGCGAGCGUUAUCCGGAUUUAUUGGGUUUAAAGGGUGCGCAGGCGGCGUGUCAAGUCAGCGGUAAAAUGUCGGGGCUCAACCCCGGCCGGCCGUUGAAACUGGCGUGCUCGAGUUGGAGAGAAGUAUGCGGAAUUCGUGGUGUAGCGGUGAAAUGCAUAGAUAUCACGAAGAACUCCGAUUGCGAAGGCAGCUUACCAGUCUGCGACUGACGCUCAGGCACGAAAGUGUGGGUAUCGAACAGG
RNAcentral lists this ribosomal RNA (252 nucleotides) under uncultured Bacteroidales bacterium. Its description in RNAcentral is "partial 16S ribosomal RNA". It matches the Rfam family "Bacterial small subunit ribosomal RNA", at positions 524 to 776 of the family's 1533-position model. Lineage: Bacteria; Pseudomonadati; Bacteroidota; Bacteroidia; Bacteroidales. The record is from RNAcentral.